CACUGUUCACUUGGUCCUACAUUAUCCAAUUGGAUAACUGUGGAAAUGCUAGAGCUAAUACACGCAACAAUGCUCCGACCUCGCGGGACGAGCGCAUUUAUUAGAACAAAACCAAUCGGGCCUCGCGUCCGUGCUUUGGUCACUCUGAAUAAACUAGCUGAUCGUACGGUCCUUGUACCGACGACGUACCAUACGAGUGUCUGCCUUAUCAACUUUCGAUGGUAGUUUCUGUGCCUACCAUGGUUGUAACGGGUAACGGAGAAUCAGGGUUCGACUCCGGAGAGGGAGCCUGAGAAACGGCUACCACA
Molecule: ribosomal RNA, 308 nt
Filed under: Manunema proboscidis
Lineage: Eukaryota; Metazoa; Nematoda; Chromadorea; Plectida; Leptolaimidae
Description: SSU rRNA
Rfam family: Eukaryotic small subunit ribosomal RNA
Source: RNAcentral